RNAcentral lists this ribosomal RNA (468 nucleotides) under uncultured bacterium. RNAcentral describes it as "partial 16S ribosomal RNA". It matches the Rfam family "Bacterial small subunit ribosomal RNA", at positions 28 to 507 of the family's 1533-position model. The record is from RNAcentral.
GACGAACGCUGGCGGCGUGCUUAACACAUGCAAGUCGAACGGAAAGGCCCUGCUUUUGUGGGGUGCUCGAGUGGCGAACGGGUGAGUAACACGUGAGUAACCUGCCCUUGACUUUGGGAUAACUUCAGGAAACUUGGGCUAAUACCGGAUAGGAUCUCCUGCUGCAUGGUGGGGGUUGGAAAGUUUCGGCGGUUGGGGAUGGACUCGCGGCUUAUCAGCUUGUUGGUGGGGUAGUGGCUUACCAAGGCUUUGACGGGUAGCCGGCCUGAGAGGGUGACCGGCCACAUUGGGACUGAGAUACGGCCCAGACUCCUACGGGAGGCAGCAGUGGGGAAUAUUGCACAAUGGGAGGAAGCCUGAUGCAGCAACGCCGCGUGCGGGAUGACGGCCUUCGGGUUGUAAACCGCUUUCGCCUGUGACGAAGCGUGAGUGACGGUAAUGGGUAAAGAAGCACCGGCUAACUACGUG